Molecule: microRNA, 20 nt
Filed under: Bombyx mori (domestic silkworm)
Lineage: Eukaryota; Metazoa; Arthropoda; Insecta; Lepidoptera; Bombycidae
Description: bmo-miR-2821
Source: miRBase by way of RNAcentral
GUCACGUAGGGCACCGGUGA